GGGGAUGUUUUGGGAUUCGACAGGCGUAGAUUCGCGUUGACUGCGAUUCGUAGGUCACGUCUACGUUAAAAACGUCACAGUUAAAUUAUAACUGCAAAUAACGAAAAUUCUUACGCAGUAGCUGCUUAGUCAGCCUGCGUGAUCCAAAGAUGGAUUGCUCGUGUCUAUCUACGGGUCUUACCAUUUAACGAGCUACGUUUAACUACUUACCUUAAUAGUUAGAAAUAAGAUUCUUAGGUUAGUUUUGAUAGUUUAGCCCUGUUAUAUGGCGUUUUAUCAAAGCGAAUUUUAAGUAAUAUAACUAUGAUCGUAGAUGUUAACGACGAAAUACGUUUGGACAGGGGUUCAAUUCCCCUCAUCUCCAUAG
This is a non-coding RNA of Lactobacillus johnsonii NCC 533, 367 nucleotides long. The record is from Rfam. NCBI's taxonomy places the organism in Bacteria, Bacillati, Bacillota, Bacilli, Lactobacillales, Lactobacillaceae.